AAACUUUGCUUUUCAGCGCGGCUGCUUGGGUACUACGAGCGAGUGCUUAAAACUCAAAGAACUUGGCGGCUUGUUAACUACCUAGGGGAAUAUGCGCCUUAAUCCGAUGAUCCCCGUUAUAUCUUACUGAGCCUUGAAAAAGUGCAGCUGGUGUAUUGCCGUUGUCAGCUUGUUGUUCGAGCAAAGAGAAACAGGCUUAAUGGAUCCUGGUGAUUACUUUCACGGGAAUCCAUGAAUUCAGGUCGUAAUACUGCCUAUGGCUCAAGGGAGCGGGUGUUACAAUUCAUAUUUGGAAUUACGGAUCCUCAUCGUGGAAUCUUGGGGUGAAGGUGAACUUAGGAGUAAGGAUAGAUUAAUAUGCUUUCCUGAACAUGAAUCUAACUCGUGUACACAUCGCCGUUCGCUCU
RNAcentral lists this ribosomal RNA (407 nucleotides) under Pecten novaezelandiae. Its description in RNAcentral is "partial 12S ribosomal RNA". It matches the Rfam family "Bacterial small subunit ribosomal RNA", at positions 874 to 1403 of the family's 1533-position model. The record is from RNAcentral. Lineage: Eukaryota; Metazoa; Mollusca; Bivalvia; Pectinida; Pectinidae.